UACGGAGGGUGCGAGCGUUAAUCGGAAUUACUGGGCGUAAAGCGCACGUGGGCGGUCAGAUAAGUCGGAUGUGAAAGCCCUGGGCUUAACCUGGGAACUGCAUUCGAUACUGUCUGGCUAGAGUAUGGGAGAGGGAAGCGGAAUUUCCGGUGUAGCGGUGAAAUGCGUAGAUAUCGGAAGGAACACCAAUGGCGAAGGCAGCUUCCUGGCCCAAUACUGACGCUCAGGUGCGAAAGCGUGGGGAUCAAACAGG
Molecule: ribosomal RNA, 253 nt
Filed under: uncultured bacterium
Lineage: Bacteria
Description: partial 16S ribosomal RNA
Rfam family: Bacterial small subunit ribosomal RNA
Source: RNAcentral